GCCUGGGUGGCUCAGUUGGUUAAGCAUCUGACUUUGGCUCAGGUCAUGAUCUCGCGGUUUGUGAGUUCGAGCCCCACGUUGGGCU
RNAcentral lists this transfer RNA (85 nucleotides) under Felis catus (domestic cat). It matches the Rfam family "tRNA". From Rfam's summary of the family: Transfer RNA (tRNA) molecules are approximately 80 nucleotides in length. The record is from Rfam by way of RNAcentral. Lineage: Eukaryota; Metazoa; Chordata; Mammalia; Carnivora; Felidae.